This 300-nucleotide unclassified non-coding RNA is filed under the name uncultured Basidiomycota. Its description in RNAcentral is "sequence contains 5.8S rRNA gene, ITS2". Lineage: Eukaryota; Fungi; Basidiomycota. The record is from RNAcentral.
GAAAAGAACUUUGAAAAGAGAGUUAAACAGUACGUGAAAUUGUUGAAAGGGAAACGAUUGAAGCCAGUCGUACCGACGGAAAAUCAACUUCUCGGGUGCUUAUCAUGGGUGACGUUGAGCCUCACGGUCUUCGUCAUUUGUGUUUAUUGGUGCCUUUGUGGUGUACUUUUUCGUAUGGUUAGGUUAACAUCGAUUUUGAUCGUCAUAAAAUGAUCGGAGGAAUGUAGCUUCGAUUUAGAUCGAAGUGUUAUAGCCUUUGGUAGAUGUGACGAUUGUGAUCGAGGAUUGCAACGAAUACCC